This 436-nucleotide ribosomal RNA is filed under the name Colwellia sp. 'Disko Bay 219'. RNAcentral describes it as "bacterial SSU rRNA". It matches the Rfam family "Bacterial small subunit ribosomal RNA", at positions 20 to 452 of the family's 1533-position model. The record is from RNAcentral. Lineage: Bacteria; Pseudomonadati; Pseudomonadota; Gammaproteobacteria; Alteromonadales; Colwelliaceae.
UGGCUCAGAUUGAACGCUGGCGGCAGGCUUAACACAUGCAAGUCGAGCGGAAACGAGAAUAGCUUGCUAUUCGGCGUCGAGCGGCGGACGGGUGAGUAAUGCUUGGGAAUAUGCCUUUGAGUGGGGGACAACAGUUGGAAACGACUGCUAAUACCGCAUAACGUCUACGGACCAAAGGGGGGGACGCUUCGGCACCUCUCGCUCAUUGAUUAGCCCAAGUGAGAUUAGCUAGUUGGUAAGGUAAUGGCUUACCAAGGCGACGAUCUCUAGCUGGUUUGAGAGGAUGAUCAGCCACACUGGGACUGAGACACGGCCCAGACUCCUACGGGAGGCAGCAGUGGGGAAUAUUGCACAAUGGGCGAAAGCCUGAUGCAGCCAUGCCGCGUGUGUGAAGAAGGCCUUCGGGUUGUAAAGCACUUUCAGCGAGGAGGAAAGG